RNAcentral lists this small nuclear RNA (167 nucleotides) under Gopherus agassizii (Agassiz's desert tortoise). RNAcentral describes it as "U1 spliceosomal RNA (ENSGAGG00000003595.1)". It matches the Rfam family "U1 spliceosomal RNA". From Rfam's summary of the family: U1 is a small nuclear RNA (snRNA) component of the spliceosome (involved in pre-mRNA splicing). Lineage: Eukaryota; Metazoa; Chordata; Testudines; Testudinidae. The record is from Rfam by way of RNAcentral.
AUACUUAUCUGGCAGGGGAGAUACCGUGAUUAUGGAGGGGGUUUUCCCAGGAUGAGGCUCAUCCGUUGCACUGCGGGUGUGCUAACCCCUGUGAUUUCCCCAAAUGUGGGAAAUNAUUCAACUGCAUAAUUUGUGGUAGUGGGGGACUGCAUCUGCGCUCUCCCCUG